GAUGGUUGGUCAGCCAGAGAGACAAAGGGCAGGGAGAUCUGGAACCUUCAAUAAAUCCUGCAGUGAGGUAAUCAGGAUGUUCCUCACUCCUGUCUCAUCCAUCACCUCAUUGAAACUGGUUGGUCAGCCCGAGUGAGAGAGGUGGAGAGGGAGAUCUGGAGCCUUCAGUAAAUCCUGCAGCCGCUUCUGGCAACAAAUGGCCACAAACCGAUCAAAGGUGAAAGCGACGGUGAACCAGACAGAGCAGUCAGUGGCUGCAUAAAGCAGGACGGCGUGGAUAUUACACACGCGGACGGAGUACUCCAGGAAAUAAAACUGUUCCCAAUAAACAAUGGGAAUGUGUCUCAGGAUCAGGUCGAGGAUAAUGACCAGGAGAUCCGCCGCUGUCAUGGCCCCCAGGUAACGUCUGACACAUGGAGACAAUCCACAAUCUUUAUAAAGCAGGACGUAGAUGGUCACUACGUUAACUGUGAGGAAGGAAAACAAACCCAUUAUCCAUCAGCCUGGAGGCAAAGGGACCCGUUUGAUCGGGGACUCUGUGAGAUUUUCAAAUGUGUCCCUGUAUUCAGGGAUUUAUUCAAAUAAUUGGAGCUGGAAUAACAAAUGGGAAGGUCGGAAUUACUGACAAAAAU
Long non-coding RNA from Hemiscyllium ocellatum (epaulette shark), 632 nucleotides. RefSeq lists it as uncharacterized. The transcript has 3 exons. The record is from RefSeq and is a predicted model, not a curated record. NCBI's taxonomy places the organism in Eukaryota, Metazoa, Chordata, Chondrichthyes, Orectolobiformes, Hemiscylliidae.